AAUUAAUAAACGUUAAUCAAUAAUAAUUAUAAAUUGUUAAGAUAUAUUUUUUUAACUCAUAGAUCUGUCACACUUUAAUUUAAAAAAUCGAUCAAACAUGAACUCAUAUCAAGAUGUCGAAAAGUGUGCCAAUGUGAUAUUAAGUGAAAUAUUUCAUUUACCUGAGCGAUAGCCCACGAUAAAAGGAAUCCAGCAGAUUUCGGGUCUGGCAACAUUCCCUUAGCAGUGUCGAAGCAACCGAAGUAUGAUGCUCUGUAAAUGAUGAUUCCUUGAACGGAUACACCAAAACCUUUGUACAAUCCAGAGAUUCCGUCAGAUUUGAAGACCUUGGACAAACAGUCUCCAAGACCGUUGAACUCCCGACCAGCUCCAGCUUUGCCGACAUCAGCG
Molecule: long non-coding RNA, 390 nt
Organism: Myzus persicae (green peach aphid)
Lineage: Eukaryota; Metazoa; Arthropoda; Insecta; Hemiptera; Aphididae
Exons: 2
Source: RefSeq, a predicted model, not a curated record